This 253-nucleotide ribosomal RNA is filed under the name uncultured bacterium. Its description in RNAcentral is "partial 16S ribosomal RNA". It matches the Rfam family "Bacterial small subunit ribosomal RNA", at positions 524 to 776 of the family's 1533-position model. The record is from RNAcentral.
UACGUAGGGGGCAAGCGUUGUCCGGAUUUAUUGGGCGUAAAGAGCGUGUAGGCGGUCAGAUAGGUCCGUUGUGAAAACUCGAGGCUCAACCUCGAGACGCCGAUGGAAACCAUCUGACUAGAGUCCGGAAGAGGAGAGUGGAAUUCCUGGUGUAGCGGUGAAAUGCGCAGAUAUCAGGAAGAACACCCGUGGCUAAGGCGGCUCUCUAGUACGGUACUGACGCUGAGACACGAAAGCGUGGGGAGCGAACAGG